Molecule: ribosomal RNA, 857 nt
Filed under: uncultured bacterium
Lineage: Bacteria
Description: bacterial SSU rRNA
Rfam family: Bacterial small subunit ribosomal RNA
Source: RNAcentral
UCGACGGUUAAGCAUCUUCGGAUGUGUAUAAAGUGGCGAACGGCUGAGUAACACGUGGGCAACCUGCCCUUUGCACUGGGAUAGCCUCGGGAAACCGAGGUUAAUACCGGAUACUCCAUAUUUGUCGCAUGGCGAAUAUGGGAAAGCUCCGGCGGCAAAGGAUGGGCCCGCGGCCUGUUAGCUAGUUGGUGGGGUAGUGGCCUACCAAGGCAAUGAUGGGUAGCCGGGUUGAGAGACCGACCGGCCAGAUUGGGACUGAGACACGGCCCAGACUCCUACGGGAGGCAGCAGUGGGGAAUCUUGCACAAUGGGCGAAAGCCUGAUGCAGCGACGCCGCGUGCGGGAUGAAGGCCUUCGGGUUGUAAACCGCUUUCAGCAGGGACGAGGCCGCAAGGUGACGGUACCUGCAGAAGAAGCCCCGGCUAACUACGUGCCAGCAGCCGCGGUAAUACGUAGGGGGCAAGCGUUAUCCAGAUUCAUUGGGCGUAAAGCGCGCGUAGGCGGUCUGUUAGGUCAGGAGUUAAAUCUGGGGGCUCAACCCCUAUCCGCUCCUGAUACCGGCAGGCUUGAGUCUGGUAGGGGAAGAUGGAAUUCCAAGUGUAGCGGUGAAAUGCGCAGAUAUUUGGAAGAACACCGGUGGCGAAGGCGGUCUUCUGGGCCAUGACUGACGCUGAGGCGCGAAAGCUAGGGGAGCGAACAGGAUUAGAUACCCUGGUAGUCCUAGCUGUAAACGAUGGACACUAGGUGUGGGGAGAUUAUACUUUCCGUGCCGCAGCUAACGCAUUAAGUGUCCCGCCUGGGGAGUACGGUCGCAAGACUAANACUCAAAGGAAUUGACGGGGGCCCGCACAAGCAGC